This 605-nucleotide ribosomal RNA is filed under the name uncultured Symbiodinium. RNAcentral describes it as "partial Eukaryotic large subunit ribosomal RNA". It matches the Rfam family "Eukaryotic large subunit ribosomal RNA", at positions 1538 to 2141 of the family's 3401-position model. Lineage: Eukaryota; Dinophyceae; Suessiales; Symbiodiniaceae. The record is from RNAcentral.
GUCGAUCCUAAGAGAUAGCAGAAAUCCGUUGCAAGGCGGGCAUUGGAUUCUUGGCAUCUGCCUUUUGUCUUUGCCCCUUCUAUCGAAAGGGAAUCGGGUUAAUAUUCCCGAACCAGGACGUGGAUGUUGAGUGGUAACACAAGCAAAGCCGGGGACGACGGCGGGGGCCCCGACAAGAGUUGUCUUUUCUUGUUAACAGGUGCACCGACCCUGGAAUCGGAUUGACCGGAGAUAGGGUUGGCGGCCUGGGAAAGGCGGUUACUUUUUGACCGUUUCGGUGCGCCCUCGACGUUCCUUGAAAACCUGGUGGCGUGUCUUAUUCGCACCCCUGGUCGUACUCAUCACCGCAUCAGGUCUCCAAGGUUAGCAGCCUCUAGUCGAUAGAAGAAUGUAGAUAAGGGAAGUCGGCAAACUAGAUCCGUAACUUCGGGAAAAGGAUUGGCUCUGAGGGUUGGGCCUAGGGGUCUCCUGGCUUUAGUUGCGGCUGCUAGGAGGGACUGCGUCUCACGAUGCGGACCUUCCGGGCGGCCCUUCGUCGGCUUGGAGGAUGCCACGGCGAUGAACAACCAGCUCAGAACUGGAGCGGACAAGGGGAAUCCGACUGU